This 67-nucleotide transfer RNA is filed under the name marine eukaryotic metagenome. It matches the Rfam family "tRNA". Rfam says of the family: Transfer RNA (tRNA) molecules are approximately 80 nucleotides in length. Their secondary structure includes four short double-helical elements and three loops (D, anti-codon, and T loops). The record is from RNAcentral.
GGGAGUAGCUCAGUUGGUAGAGCAUCAGCUUCCCAAGCUGAGGGUCGCCGGUUCGAACCCGGUCUCC